UUUGGAUCCUUNGAACAAGGUUUCCGUAGGUGAACCUGCGGAAGGAUCAUUACUGAGCGCGAGGCCACGCGGGGCGCAUGCCUUGCGUCGGCUGACCCUCCACCCGUGUGAACUGUCUCCUGUUGCUUUGGCGGGCCGGGCUCGUCCUGCCGGCUCCGGCUGGGGAGUGCCCGCCAGAGAAGCCCCAACUCGUGCUGUUUGUGUCGUCUGAGUGAAUGUGGAAUUAGUAAAACUUUCAACAACGGAUCUCUUGGCUCUGGCAUCGAUGAAGAACGCAGCGAAAUGCGAUAAGUAAUGUGAAUUGCAGAAUUUAGUGAAUCAUCGAAUCUUUGAACGCACAUUGCGCCCCCCGGCAUUCCGAGGGGCAUGCCUGUUCGAGCGUCAGAACACCCUCAAGCCUAGCUUGGUCUUGGGGCUCGCCGACCCGGCGGCUCCUAAACGCAGUGGCGGUGCUGUUGUGCUCUCCGCGUAGUCACGUAUCUCGCGACAGGGCAGCGACGACACCCGCCAGAACCCCAUUUUCUGGAUGACCUCGGAUCAGGUAGGGAUACCCGCUGAACUUAAGCAUAUCAAUAAGCGGAAGCUGCAGAA
Molecule: ribosomal RNA, 591 nt
Filed under: Podosphaera tridactyla
Lineage: Eukaryota; Fungi; Ascomycota; Leotiomycetes; Helotiales; Erysiphaceae
Description: eukaryotic LSU rRNA
Rfam family: 5.8S ribosomal RNA (bases 231-384)
Source: RNAcentral